Molecule: transfer RNA, 68 nt
Filed under: Rattus norvegicus (Norway rat)
Lineage: Eukaryota; Metazoa; Chordata; Mammalia; Rodentia; Muridae
Rfam family: tRNA
About the family: Transfer RNA (tRNA) molecules are approximately 80 nucleotides in length. Their secondary structure includes four short double-helical elements and three loops (D, anti-codon, and T loops).
Source: Rfam by way of RNAcentral
GAGGGUUUAGCUCAGUGGUAGAGCGCUUGCCUAGCAAGCGAAAGGCCCUGGGUUCGGUCCCUAGCUCC